GAUGAACGCUGGCGGCGUGCUUAACACAUGCAAGUCGAACGGAAAGGCUCCUGCUUUCAUGGGUACUCGAGUGGCGAACGGGUGAGUAACACGUGGGUGAUCUGCCCUUCACUUCGGGAUAAGCCUUGGAAACUGGGUCUAAUACCGGAUAGGACGAUGUUUUGGAUGCCAUUGUGGAAAGUUUUUCGGUGUGGGAUGAGCUCGCGGCCUAUCAGCUUGUUGGUGGGGUAAUGGCCUACCAAGGCGUCGACGGGUAGCCGGCCUGAGAGGGUGUACGGCCACAUUGGGACUGAGAUACGGCCCAGACUCCUACGGGAGGCAGCAGUGGGGAAUAUUGCACAAUGGGCGCAAGCCUGAUGCAGCGACGCCGCGUGGGGGAUGACGGCCUUCGGGUUGUAAACUCCUUUCGCUAGGGACGAAGCGCAAGUGACGGUACCUGGAGAAGAAGCACCGGCUAACUACGUG
RNAcentral lists this ribosomal RNA (465 nucleotides) under uncultured bacterium. RNAcentral describes it as "partial 16S ribosomal RNA". It matches the Rfam family "Bacterial small subunit ribosomal RNA", at positions 28 to 507 of the family's 1533-position model. The record is from RNAcentral.